RNAcentral lists this ribosomal RNA (397 nucleotides) under uncultured bacterium. Its description in RNAcentral is "partial 16S ribosomal RNA". It matches the Rfam family "Bacterial small subunit ribosomal RNA", at positions 523 to 918 of the family's 1533-position model. The record is from RNAcentral.
AUACGUAGGGGGCGAGCGUUGUCCGGAAUGAUUGGGCGUAAAGGGCGCGUAGGCGGCCCGGUAAGUCUGGAGUGAAAGUCCUGUUUUUAAGAUGGGAAUUGCUUUGGAUACUGUCGGGCUUGAGUGCAGGAGAGGUAAGUGGAAUUCCCAGUGUAGCGGUGAAAUGCGUAGAGAUUGGGAGGAACACCAGUGGCGAAGGCGACUUACUGGACUGUAACUGACGCUGAGGCGCGAAAGUGUGGGGAGCAAACAGGAUUAGAUACCCUGGUAGUCCACACUGUAAACGAUGAAUGCUAGGUGUAGGGGGUAUCGACCCCUUCUGUGCCGCAGUCAACACAAUAAGCAUUCCGCCUGGGGAGUACGUUCGCAAGAAUGAAACUCAAAGGAAUUGACGGGG